UAGGGAAUCUUCCACAAUGGGCGAAAGCCUGAUGGAGCAACGCCGCGUGGGUGAAGAAGGUCUUCGGAUCGUAAAACCCUGUUGUUAGAGAAGAAAGUGCGUGAGAGUAACUGUUCACGUUUCGACGGUAUCUAACCAGAAAGCCACGGCUAACUACGUGCCAGCAGCCGCGGUAAUACGUAGGUGGCAAGCGUUAUCCGGAUUUAUUGGGCGUAAAGGGAACGCAGGCGGUCUUUUAAGUCUGAUGUGAAAGCCUUCGGCUUAACCGGAGUAGUGCAUUGGAAACUGGGAGACUUGAGUGCAGAAGAGGAGAGUGGAACUCCAUGUGUAGCGGUGAAAUGCGUAGAUAUAUGGAAGAACACCAGUGGCGAAAGCGGCUCUCUGGUCUGUAACUGACGCU
RNAcentral lists this ribosomal RNA (400 nucleotides) under uncultured bacterium. RNAcentral's name for it is "bacterial SSU rRNA". It matches the Rfam family "Bacterial small subunit ribosomal RNA", at positions 355 to 747 of the family's 1533-position model. The record is from RNAcentral.